This is a long non-coding RNA of Armigeres subalbatus, 721 nucleotides long. RefSeq lists it as uncharacterized. The record is from RefSeq and is a predicted model, not a curated record. Lineage: Eukaryota; Metazoa; Arthropoda; Insecta; Diptera; Culicidae. The transcript has 2 exons.
CAUGUCACAAUAAACAUAUUAUGUUUUUUUCAAAGUUACACUAUAGUCUGUUUUUUUUCAAUCAGAACCCAUGUAUCUAUGAGUUUAUUGCUACUCCAUGUAUAUAUGUGGAAAGGGUGAGAAAAGUGUCACCAUUAGGAAAAAAUGUUCAGUCAAAAAUCACAAUAAAUAUGUUCAGCAGCUAUGACGACUUUGCGCAUGCUAAUCCCCGAUGUGGCAAGGCUGUAUACCUAUACUGAUAGACGGAUGCAGAAAUAAUUUCAAGCCCGCAGAUUUGGAACUACUUCAAUUAUAGUCAUGUAGACCAUCCACAGAAUACGUGCAAAUAUCAGCUUGGUGAAAUACUCCUACAAAAGUCCUACAGGAAAUGACGGUCUUGUCAUGAUUUGCUCUAUAGUUGGCUGGUGGGUUUUAUGAUUCUGCUUAAAUUUGGCGUGAUAGCAUAUUCAAGUGUUUUGUUACCAAAUUUAUGAAAGAGCACCGGUGAACCGGCCUAGGGCCGAAAACCUUGUUAAUAAAAACACUAAUAAUGAACAAUUGACUAAAAAGCAACUGGCCAUUGAAGAAUUAAACCUAUCAGAUUCCUCCUAACUCUUUUUAUAUGUUCAAGCACAAAGUUCACAAAGUUCGAAUUAAUAUAUAAGUGUACUAAAUACUUGUCAUUUUAUGAAUAAACGAAUGAAAAUUCAAUGUAAAGAUGUAAUAUAUUCAAUUUAUUUGA